Molecule: long non-coding RNA, 554 nt
Organism: Quercus robur (English oak)
Lineage: Eukaryota; Viridiplantae; Streptophyta; Magnoliopsida; Fagales; Fagaceae
Exons: 3
Source: RefSeq, a predicted model, not a curated record
AUAUAAAUAUAUAAUAAUAAGCUUGUACCGUAUCGGUGUGGGAUAAUUAGUGGAAAAAACAAAAAAUGGCAGAGGCGACUCCUGUAGUACUGGGACUCAUCAAAGAGCUAAGAAGCCACGAGGUUGCUAUUGCCGAACUCAAUCAUCUUUCUUCAUCCAGGGCUGUCUAUCAGAAAAAUGGGAACAUAUUUUUCCAAACGACUAUCCAGAAAGCUACAGCAUCUGAACAGAAACAACUUGAUUUGGCCAAAGCUAAGCUUGAAAAGCUGAAUUCUCCUUGAAGCAACUUGGCUGUACCAUGGCUUUGCUAGACCCAAACCUUUAUGGCAGGAAAAGCUCUGCAUUUAUAUGACAAGGCAUUCAACUGAGAUCAACCCCUUUUAGUGGUGUAAUAAUAGAAGUUAGAAUGGUCAUUAGAUUUCUAUAGAGCUAUAUCUUUACUGCAUUAACUAAACUGUCUGGGGCCUGAGCAUUCAUUGUCACACUUUUUAAUCAUUGAAUUUUCUUAUUGCCAUGGACCUUUCUCCGUAAUGAAUAUUUCUUUUUUGAGUUCA